RNAcentral lists this ribosomal RNA (500 nucleotides) under uncultured bacterium. RNAcentral describes it as "partial 16S ribosomal RNA". It matches the Rfam family "Bacterial small subunit ribosomal RNA", at positions 30 to 523 of the family's 1533-position model. The record is from RNAcentral.
AUUGAACGCUGGCGGCAUGCUUUACACAUGCAAGUCGAACGGUAACAGGGAGCUUGCUCCGCUGACGAGUGGCGAACGGGUGAGUAAUGCGUCGGAACGUGCCGAGUAGUGGGGGAUGACGCAGCGAAAGUUGUGCUAAUACCGCAUACGUACUGAGGUAGAAAGUGGGGGACCUUCGGGCCUCAUGCUAUUCGAGCGGCCGCCGUUUGAUUAGCUAGUAGGUGAGGUAAAGGCUCACCUAGGCGACGAUCAGUAGCGGGUCGGAGAGGAUGAUCCGCCACACUGGGACUGAGACACGGCCCAGACUCCUACGGGAGGCAGCAGUGGGGAAUUUUGGACAAUGGGCGAAAGCCUGAUCCAGCCAUGCCGCGUGUCUGAAGAAGGCCUUCGGGUUGUAAAGGACUUUUGUCGGGGAGGAAAUCCCCAGCGUUAAUACCGCUGGGGGAUGACAGUACCUGAAGAAUAAGCACCGGCUAACUCUGUGCCAGCAGCCGCGGUAA